This 201-nucleotide small nuclear RNA is filed under the name Rhodnius prolixus. RNAcentral describes it as "U2 spliceosomal RNA". The stretch from base 1 to 132 matches the Rfam family "U2 spliceosomal RNA". Rfam says of the family: U2 is a small nuclear RNA (snRNA) component of the spliceosome (involved in pre-mRNA splicing). Complementary binding between U2 snRNA (in an area lying towards the 5' end but 3' to hairpin I) and the branchpoint sequence (BPS) of the intron results the bulging out of an unpaired adenosine, on the BPS, which initiates a nucleophilic attack at the intronic 5' splice site, thus starting the first of two transesterification reactions that mediate splicing. Lineage: Eukaryota; Metazoa; Arthropoda; Insecta; Hemiptera; Reduviidae. The record is from Rfam by way of RNAcentral.
AUCGCUUCUCGGCCUUUUGGCUAAGAUCAAAGUGUAGUAUCUGUUCUUAUCAGCUUAAUCUCUGGUAUGUUAUAUGAGGCAGUGUGAAUUUUUGGAUGAUUUAAGGUUGCCAUUUAAUGGGGCUAAUUCUUUAAGAGGAUAAAACGAUGUUUGGCAGUUUCAAAGUUUUGAGGCAUUGCAGAAUAAUUUUGGAAAUCUUAU